GGAUGUGAGGGUGAUGUGGUUGUGACAUUUGUCACCCAAUUGAUGACCAGUAUUGAUUUGACUGAUCUGGCUCGCUAGGCAAGUGUCCCCUUCCUUCCUCACUGCUCCAUGUGCAUCCCUCCCAAAGCUAUCCUCUGUCAAAGAGGAUGACCUUCCCCAAAUACAGACGGACUUGUCUCUGGCCAGGGUAUCUGAGAGUCGUUGUACUCCCCUGCUAGAUAGAACCUCCAAACAAGCUCUCUAGAGAAGGGGGUGGGGUUCAAGGGAAGACAGCAUAUUGUAAACACAUUUCCUGCCUGAAGUUCUGAAGUCCUAGG
Molecule: small nuclear RNA, 317 nt
Filed under: Erinaceus europaeus (western European hedgehog)
Lineage: Eukaryota; Metazoa; Chordata; Mammalia; Eulipotyphla; Erinaceidae
Description: 7SK RNA
Rfam family: 7SK RNA
About the family: 7SK was discovered as an abundant small nuclear RNA in the mid-70s but a possible function has only recently been suggested. Two independent studies have found that 7SK RNA binds the CDK9/cyclin T complex (known as elongation factor P-TEFb). P-TEFb activates transcription by phosphorylating the C-terminal domain of RNA polymerase II.
Source: Rfam by way of RNAcentral